GAUGAACGCUGGCGGCGUGCCUAAUACAUGCAAGUCGAGCGAACGGACGAGAAGCUUGCUCCUCUGAUGUUAGCGGCGGACGGGUGAGUAACACGUGGAUAGCCUACCUAUAAGACUGGGAUAACUUCGGGAAACCGGAGCUAAUACCGGAUGAUAUUUUGAACCGCAUGGUUCAAAAGUGAAAGACGGUCUUGCUGUCACUUAUAGAUGGAUCCGCGCUGCAUUAGCUAGUUGGUAAGGUAACGGCUUACCAAGGCAACGAUGCAUAGCCGACCUGAGAGGGUGAUCGGCCACACUGGAACUGAGACACGGUCCAGACUCCUACGGGAGGCAGCAGUAGGGAAUCUUCCGCAAUGGGCGAAAGCCUGACGGAGCAACGCCGCGUGAGUGAUGAAGGUCUUCGGAUCGUAAAACUCUGUUAUUAGGGAAGAACAUAUGUGUAAGUAACUGUGCACAUCUUGACGGUACCUAAUCAGAAAGCCACGGCUAACUACGUG
RNAcentral lists this ribosomal RNA (497 nucleotides) under uncultured bacterium. Its description in RNAcentral is "partial 16S ribosomal RNA". It matches the Rfam family "Bacterial small subunit ribosomal RNA", at positions 28 to 507 of the family's 1533-position model. The record is from RNAcentral.